RNAcentral lists this ribosomal RNA (482 nucleotides) under uncultured bacterium. RNAcentral's name for it is "partial 16S ribosomal RNA". It matches the Rfam family "Bacterial small subunit ribosomal RNA", at positions 28 to 523 of the family's 1533-position model. The record is from RNAcentral.
GAUGAACGCUGGCGGCGUGCUUAACACAUGCAAGUCGAACGAUGAAGCCCAGCUUGCUGGGUGGAUUAGUGGCGAACGGGUGAGUAACACGUGAGUAACCUGCCCUUAACUCUGGGAUAAGCCUGGGAAACUGGGUCUAAUACCGGAUAGGAGCGCCUACCGCAUGGUGGGUGUUGGAAAGAUUUAUCGGUUUUGGAUGGACUCGCGGCCUAUCAGCUUGUUGGUGAGGUAAUGGCUCACCAAGACGACGACGGGUAGCCGGCCUGAGAGGGUGACCGGCCACACUGGGACUGAGACACGGCCCAGACUCCUACGGGAGGCAGCAGUGGGGAAUAUUGCACAAUGGGCGAAAGCCUGAUGCAGCGACGCCGCGUGAGGGAUGACGGCCUUCGGGUUGUAAACCUCUUUCAGUAGGGAAGAAGCGAAAGUGACGGUACCUGCAGAAGAAGCACCGGCUAACUACGUGCCAGCCGCCGCCGUAA